GUCGGGAAAGAAAAGACGGAGAAUUGGAUUUUUCUUCUUCAUAGAGUUUUGGGAAGACUGAGGCAAUCGUUGCUGAAGUCAGUGUUGUAAUGGUGAAUCGGGAUUUUUUUUAAUGAAGUAGGUUUGACUACUCUUGACUAUUUUGUGAAAUCGAAUUACGUCUGUGAUUGAAGAAUUAAAAGGGUGUCUAUAGGAUUGAGUAUGCGAAGUGAAUGAAAUUUAUUGAGUUAAUCUAACAAGACAGUCAGUGGAUACAAGAUCGUAAGUACAAAGCAGUAUCGGAGAUUAACAG
RNAcentral lists this long non-coding RNA (292 nucleotides) under Physcomitrium patens. RNAcentral's name for it is "long non-coding RNA (PPAT_LNC001089)". The record is from RNAcentral. Lineage: Eukaryota; Viridiplantae; Streptophyta; Bryopsida; Funariales; Funariaceae.